UACGAAGGGGGCUAGCGUUGUUCGGAAUCACUGGGCUUAAAGCGUGUGUAGGCGGAUCGUUAAGUGUCUUGUGAAAUCCCACGGCUCACCCGUGGAACUGCUGGGCAUACUGGCGAUCUUGGGCCAACUAGGGGCAACUGGAACAAGCGGUGGAGCGGUGAAAUGCGUAGAUAUCGCUUGGAACGCCAAAGGUGAAAACAGGUUGCUGGGGUUGUGCCGACGCUGAGACACGAAAGCCAGGGGAGCAAACGGG
Molecule: ribosomal RNA, 253 nt
Filed under: uncultured bacterium
Lineage: Bacteria
Description: partial 16S ribosomal RNA
Rfam family: Bacterial small subunit ribosomal RNA
Source: RNAcentral